GACAGAGGUGCCGAGCGUUAGGCGGAAUCACUGGGCUUAAAGCGUGUGUAGGCGGACUUCUAAGUACCUUGUGAAAUCCCACGGCUCAACCGUGGAACUGCUUGGUAUACUGGUCGUCUUGAGCCAUCUAGGGGCUGUCGGAACAAAUGGUGGAGCGGUGAAAUGCGUAGAUAUCAUUUGGAACGCCAAAGGUGAAAACAGACAGCUGGGGAUGUGCUGACGCUGAGACACGAAAGCCAGGGGAGCGAACGGG
RNAcentral lists this ribosomal RNA (253 nucleotides) under uncultured bacterium. Its description in RNAcentral is "partial 16S ribosomal RNA". It matches the Rfam family "Bacterial small subunit ribosomal RNA", at positions 524 to 776 of the family's 1533-position model. RNAcentral also lists the same sequence under 1 other name. The record is from RNAcentral.